GCCUCUUGUGUGUGAUUGACAGCUCUGCCAGGGCAGGGGGCGAGGCUCUGUCCCACCACAAACCAAGGCUUGACCCAGCCCUGGCCCCACACGAGCAUUCCGAGCAUCCCAAGGUGUCUCGGGACACCGAUCUCAUCCAGCCUCUGACAGCAACCACAGUGACGCUACAGAACCUCAUGGAACCAUGGGUCAGUUGUGACACUCUGGUGCCUCAUGGAAUCAAGGAGACCAUUGUGAAACCUGGGGUGCCCAAGGAGGCAAGGGUCCAUGGUAACCUUGUGGAGCCCGCAGUGUCACAGAAGAGGCAUUGUGAAACAGCAAGGGCACAGGGAGCCCAGGGGCCAUGGUGACACAUCAGGGCUUUGUGGAAUCAUGAAGCAUGGUGACAUUGCAAGGCCUCAUGGGAGCACAGGGCCAUUGUGACACUGCAGAAGCAGGGGGAACAUUGUGACACUCCAGGGCCUCAUGGAACUAAGGAGACCAUUGUGACACUGUGGGGUCCCAAGAAACCAAUGGACCAUGGAACAAGUCUGGCUGGCUGGGCCUCAUGGGGACCACCUGACAGGUAAAAACCAUCCAUCCUGACAAGGUGCCCAUGGCCAAAACUGGGAUUGCACCUCCAAAACUCCAUACAUCCAAGGAUUGCUCCCAAAUGAAAGCUGCCAGGACAGACAGGUCUGGCUGCCCUUGGCCUCUUGGGGGCUGCCUCUCACCUGUUUUUCAAACACUGGGGCUCUGUGCUUUUCUUCCAAUGGAAAAGAACUGUCCUUCUUCUCAAAGUGUCCAUAGUCAAAAUUGAGAUUCCUUCUCCCAAAUUCCACAUAUACAAGGAUUCCUCCAUAAUAAAAACUGCCAGGACAAAUAGGUCUGGCUGGCUUGGCCUCCCAGGAGCCACCUCUCUCUUUUUCUGUCUUUGAAACCCUUGGUCUCUGGGCUUUUCUUCCUAGGGAAAAGAACCACCCUUCUUGUCUAUAUAGAAAUGGCCAAAAUUGGGAUUCCACCUCCCAAAUUCCUUAUAUCCUAGGGUUGCUGUCAGACAAAAGCUACCAGGACAGAGGUCUGGCUGGCCUAGACCUCUGAUGGCCGCCUUUCAUCUGCCCCGCAAACACCGGUGUUCUGUGCUUUCCUUCCCAUGGAAAAGAACCGUCCUCUUCUGGGAGUCCAUGUCUGAAAUUGGGAUUCCACCUCUAAAAUUUUGUAUAUCCAAGGGU
Molecule: long non-coding RNA, 1211 nt
Organism: Passer domesticus (house sparrow)
Lineage: Eukaryota; Metazoa; Chordata; Aves; Passeriformes; Passeridae
Exons: 2
Source: RefSeq, a predicted model, not a curated record